RNAcentral lists this unclassified non-coding RNA (368 nucleotides) under soil metagenome. RNAcentral's name for it is "partial contains 5.8S ribosomal RNA, internal transcribed spacer 2, and large subunit ribosomal RNA". The stretch from base 1 to 120 matches the Rfam family "5.8S ribosomal RNA", at positions 35 to 154 of the family's 154-position model. The record is from RNAcentral.
GAUGAAGAACGUAGCGAAAUGCGAUAAGUAGUGUGAAUUGCAGAAUUCAGUGAAUCAUCGAAUCUUUGAACGCACAUUGCGCCCGCCAGUAUUCUGGCGGGCAUGCCUGUUCGAGCGUCAUUUCAACCCUCAAGCCCUGCUUGGUGUUGGGGAUCGGCGUUGCCUCCUCCGUCGUUCGCGGCGGGGUGAGGUCGCCGCCCCCGAAAUGAAUUGGCGGUCUCGUCGCAGCUUUCCUUUGCGUAGUAACAUACCACCUCGCAACCAGGAGCGCGGCGCGGCCACUGCCGUAAAACGCCCAACUUUUUCAAGAGUUGACCUCGAAUCAGGUAGGAAUACCCGCUGAACUUAAGCAUAUCAAAAGCGGAGGA